UCAAAGAGUGCGUAAUAGCUCACUGGUCGAGUGAUCCGGCGCCGAAGAUUUCCGGGGCUAAAACUUACUACCGAAGCUACGGCAUCAGUAAUGAUGGGUAGGGGAGCUUCCCAUACGGGUUGAAGCAUGACCGUAAGGACAUGGGGACAGUAUGGGAGUGAGAAUGUUGGCAUGAGUAGCGAGAUGUGGGUGAGAAUCCCACAGGCCGUAAACCCAAGGUUUCCAGGGGAAGGUUCGUCCGCCCUGGGUUAGUCGGGACCUAAGCUGAGGCCGAAAGGCGUAGGUGAUGGACAACAGGUUGAUAUUCCUGUACUACCGAU
RNAcentral lists this ribosomal RNA (320 nucleotides) under Clostridioides difficile. RNAcentral's name for it is "bacterial LSU rRNA". It matches the Rfam family "Bacterial large subunit ribosomal RNA", at positions 1123 to 1451 of the family's 2925-position model. The record is from RNAcentral. Lineage: Bacteria; Bacillati; Bacillota; Clostridia; Peptostreptococcales; Peptostreptococcaceae.